Molecule: ribosomal RNA, 253 nt
Filed under: uncultured bacterium
Lineage: Bacteria
Description: partial 16S ribosomal RNA
Rfam family: Bacterial small subunit ribosomal RNA
Source: RNAcentral
UACGUAGGGUGCGAGCGUUGUCCGGAAUUACUGGGCGUAAAGAGCUCGUAGGUGGUUUGUCGCGUUGUUCGUGAAAUCUCACGUCUUAACUGUAAGCGUGCGGGCGAUACGGGCAGACUAGAGUACUGCGGGGGAGACUGGAAUUCCUGGUGUAGCGGUGGAAUGCGCAGAUAUCAGGAGGAACACCGGUGGCGAAGGCGGGUCUCUGGGCAGUAACUGACGCUGAGGAGCGAAAGCGUGGGGAGCGAACAGG